Long non-coding RNA from Hemicordylus capensis (graceful crag lizard), 530 nucleotides. RefSeq lists it as uncharacterized. The record is from RefSeq and is a predicted model, not a curated record. NCBI's taxonomy places the organism in Eukaryota, Metazoa, Chordata, Lepidosauria, Squamata, Cordylidae. The transcript has 3 exons.
CAAGGGGUUAAUGGGAGUCUGAGCCUGGUUGCUGGGGUAGAUGAUGUCACAGACAGACCACACACCAUAUCCUGUGAUUGGCUGCAUUUUCCCACAGGGAACCAAUUGAAUUGGGAGUUGAUUAUUUCCUCUCUUUUGGGAGAAGGGGUUUCUGUUCUUUUGUGUUUGUCUUCAGUUCUUUGUGGGGUUUUUUUAGAGAGCUGGAAGUUGGGAAGGAGAGAAGAGAAGGCAAGGGAAGUACCUCUCUCUCUCUCUCUGGGGCCUUGCUCAUUUUGAGCUGAGGAGUUUACUUGGAGGCCUGUGGAGAAGAACAGCCCCAAGGGCACAGGAUAAAAAGAUGCUACUUCAGCUUCAUUUCAUCCCUGGGUCACGGCAACCCAUGGCAGAGAGGGAAUCAUGUGCACACAAAAGGCAGCAAGCUUACAUGAAGGGAAUUACUACAGCUGCCACCAGUAGAAAAACUACAGGACCCUGCUGCUUUAAGCAAGAGUGUAAACCCCCAGAUACAAAAACAAAAUGCAUUUCAUCUG